UACGAAGGGAGCUAGCGUUGUUCGGAUUCACUGGGCGUAAAGGGUGCGCAGGCGGUUGGGUGUGUCAGAUGUGAAAUCCCGAGGCUUAACCUCGGAACUGCGUCUGAAACUACUCGACUAGAGUACUGGAGAGGGAAACGGAAUUCACGGUGUAGCAGUGAAAUGCGUAGAUAUCGUGGAGGAACACCAGAGGCGAAAGGCGGUUUCCUGGACAGUU
RNAcentral lists this ribosomal RNA (217 nucleotides) under uncultured bacterium. RNAcentral's name for it is "partial 16S ribosomal RNA". It matches the Rfam family "Bacterial small subunit ribosomal RNA", at positions 524 to 738 of the family's 1533-position model. The record is from RNAcentral.